UUUAAAAAGAAGACAAGACAAAAGAUAAGAAUUUUAAUGUUAGAAAAUGGUUAAAUUGAAAUUUUACAUGUCUCCUACUUUCCCACCGAUGAUGUAAUUCGUUUCACACCCCCUCCCCCUAUGAAUCCUUUUCAUUGGUCAAAGGGAAAGUAAUUACAAUUUGACCAUUACGUUACAUGGUCUUUUUUCAACCAAACAUAUGAAAGCUUUUCACAACCUCAACUUUCCAGGGAAAGUUGUUACUUUCCCCAUACCAAACGGCCCCCAAGAGUUGGGGAAAACCAAGAGAGGGGCGAGGGUGGCGGAAAGCUGAAGAUCCUCUUCCCUUCUGAGUCCUCCCAAACGCUCUUUCGGAUCGAUGGCGUCAGCAGCCCUAUCUCCUCCUCUGGUGUGCUCUCUUUCUUCACCACCUUUAUCCCCUUCUUUGUCUCCUCUGUUACCCUUCUUCUCUUCGUCCCGGUGACCACCGGUGUCAUUUACAUCGCCACCCGAUCUCCUGAGCUGGCAACCUCGUUUGGGAAAUUAAGUAUUGCCUUGCAACCGCGCAUCUGAAAGGUGGCGCAAUCGUAUGCCUUCGUUGCCUCAACGCCGGUGUCAAAGGUACCAAACCAGACAUGAGAUCCCUUCCGAUUUGGAUCUUUGAUCUCCGCCGCAUACUUCCCCACGGCUGUUGGCUCACUCCACGGUACCUCCUCGUAUCCCGCACUGGCUUCGGCUCUGGCUCCGGUGCUGGUGCUGGUUUCGGUGAAUCAUGCCACUCAACCACGGGUGGUGACUGGUGCAAGAUGGAUAGCGUGGUGGGUCGGUGUUCCGGGUCAGAUCCGAAAUUGAUAAGGGGAGCAAGUAAGUUUGGGAUUCGAUAAUAGUAAGGACCCGCAGCUAAGUCGGUGAGGAAGUCUGGUACCACGAUGGAAUCACCGAGAAUAUGCUUGCGUAUGAGGUCGAGCAUGAAGAAAUCCGAUGCUAGGUUUAAUUACGAGCUAGGUUUUUCUCUAGGGUUUGGGACCGCUCCAGCGCUAACCUCCAUCCAAUCCUAUCUGAAUUCGCUCCAUUUCAGUAUGGUAUUUCGAUUCUAUUGAUAUUUUCUCUUGUUGUUCCUAGGAUUUUCCCCCUUUUUUUCUUUGGUGUGUGUGUGUUGGGAUUCUAGGGUUUGAUUUUUGAUGCACUUGUUUUCAGGUGUGGGGGUUGAUGGAAGCUGUAGGAGCUGAUUUGGAAUUUUGGGGGUGAUUUCGUUUCUAGGUUUUGGAACAAACAAAUGAGGGAAAACAAUGUUACAGAGCAGAUGGGAUACAAUGCGAUGCUCUUCGUGUGAAGCAAAGCACGCAAAACAGGACGAUAAACGUCACGGUCUCCCCCACUGGGGGAAGUCAAGGAUAGGCGCCAGAGUAUCGCUCCACAGUACCUUCACCCAAGAACAAAACAUCGCGUGGAGCAAGGCUCGAACACGCGACCUCCAUGAAACUCUUGGGGACCUGGUACCACUAGGCCAUUAGGCCGGUGGUUGUACAAAUUUUAUAUAAAAUUUUCUUGAACCAAAUGUUUUUAAAUGGUUUAAAAUUUGCUCAUCCAGCUUUGAACAUGAAUUGGUUGAGAACAAAUAUAUUUGUUAGCACAGGCUUCUCUCUACGCAUAGCUUGGAAAGAAUUUUGUUAGUUUUUACCCAUAUUAAUUUCAUGAGUAACGAACAUCAGUUUUCUCACAUCAUGGCUGCAUGUCCUGCAUUUUUUCGCAGGAUCUCCCUUGUGGUUUGUAUGAUGCUGGAGUAACUGAGGCCCUAGAACUUCAUAAGCUUAAAAACCGUCAAUGGGCCAUUUUUAAGAUUUUAUCUAUUAAGGGAGAAGGACUUUUCCAGGGCUUGGGCUGAAACUCGAAGAACAACUGGUUGAUUUAUCGGCAUUGCUUUAUGAUCAUCGGCUGGAGGAAGCACAUCACAAUAGUUUUGAGAUACUCCAAAGCACUUUCUUCACUCAAAGGUUCAUCACCUGAGGCACUACAUGCUGAGGUUAGAGAUUUGCAUCAAACUCUUAGUCAAGUCCAAGAUCGUGAGGAGAGGUUUCAACAAACACUUGGCCAAGUAGAAGAUAAUAACAAGGAGCUUCGACAAAAUUUGCUUGAAAUGAAAGAGAGGGACCAAUACCACACAGGACUCACAACCAUUUACUAGCAAUCAUAAUGUUGACUUAUAAUUGUAUUUGUCGUAUACUUAUUAUUUGUGUUGAACAUAGAUACUUAAACAUUUCU
Long non-coding RNA from Dioscorea cayenensis subsp. rotundata (Guinea yam), 2241 nucleotides. RefSeq lists it as uncharacterized. NCBI's taxonomy places the organism in Eukaryota, Viridiplantae, Streptophyta, Magnoliopsida, Dioscoreales, Dioscoreaceae. The transcript has 5 exons. The record is from RefSeq and is a predicted model, not a curated record.